UGAGGAAUAUUGGUCAAUGGGCGGGAGCCUGAACCAGCCAAGCCGCGUGACGGAAGAAGGCGCUAAGCGUCGUAAACGUCUUUUGCCGGGGAACAAAGGCGCGGACGCGUCCGCGUGUGAGUGUACCCGGAGAAAAAGCAUCGGCUAACUCCGUGCCAGCAGCCGCGGUAAUACGGAGGAUGCGAGCGUUAUCCGGAUUUAUUGGGUUUAAAGGGUGCGUAGGCGGCCCGUUAAGUCAGCGGUAAAAGCCCGGGGCUCAACCCUGGCGAGCCGUUGAAACUGGGGGGCUAGAGACGGCGAGAAGUACGCGGAAUGCGCGGUGUAGCGGUGAAAUGCAUAGAUAUCGCGCAGAACUCCGAUUGCGAAGGCAGCGUACCGGCGCCGGACUGACGCUGAGGCACGAAAGCGUGGGUAUCGAACAGGAUUAGAUACC
RNAcentral lists this ribosomal RNA (433 nucleotides) under uncultured bacterium. RNAcentral describes it as "bacterial SSU rRNA". It matches the Rfam family "Bacterial small subunit ribosomal RNA", at positions 355 to 786 of the family's 1533-position model. The record is from RNAcentral.